CCUACGGGAGGCAGCAGUGGGGAAUAUUGGACAAUGGGCGCAAGCCUGAUCCAGCCAUACCGCGUGGGUGAAGAAGGCCUUCGGGUUGUAAAGCCCUUUUGUUGGGAAAGAAAUCCAGCCGGCUAAUACCUGGUUGGGAUGACGGUACCCAAAGAAUAAGCACCGGCUAACUUCGUGCCAGCAGCCGCGGUAAUACGAAGGGUGCAAGCGUUACUCGGAAUUACUGGGCGUAAAGCGUGCGUAGGUGGUUAUUUAAGUCCGUUGUGAAAGCCCUGGGCUCAACCUGGGAACUGCAGUGGAUACUGGAUGACUAGAAUGUGGUAGAGGGUAGCGGAAUUCCUGGUGUAGCAGUGAAAUGCGUAGAGAUCAGGAGGAACAUCCAUGGCGAAGGCAGCUACCUGGACCAACAUUGACACUGAGGCACGAAAGCGUGGGGAGCAAACAGGAUUAGAUACCCUGGUAGUCCACGCCCUAAACGANGCGACAGAGUGUGGUGUGAUUGUGCGCAGUAUACGAGACGACGACGUACGUACGUCCGCCGCGGAGGACGGUCCGGCGAGACGUUAGUAACGUUAAAGGUUAAGUUAGUUACGGCGNGNGAGNGCGACGGACGACGACGAGGGAGGAGGAG
Molecule: ribosomal RNA, 631 nt
Filed under: uncultured bacterium
Lineage: Bacteria
Description: bacterial SSU rRNA
Rfam family: Bacterial small subunit ribosomal RNA (bases 1-540)
Source: RNAcentral